RNAcentral lists this transfer RNA (84 nucleotides) under Anaerolineales bacterium. RNAcentral describes it as "tRNA-Leu". It matches the Rfam family "tRNA". From Rfam's summary of the family: Transfer RNA (tRNA) molecules are approximately 80 nucleotides in length. Their secondary structure includes four short double-helical elements and three loops (D, anti-codon, and T loops). Further hydrogen bonds mediate the characteristic L-shaped molecular structure. tRNAs have two regions of fundamental functional importance: the anti-codon, which is responsible for specific mRNA codon recognition, and the 3' end, to which the tRNAs corresponding amino acid is attached (by aminoacyl-tRNA synthetases). tRNAs cope with the degeneracy of the genetic code in two manners: having more than one tRNA (with a specific anti-codon) for a particular amino acid; and 'wobble' base-pairing, i.e. permitting non-standard base-pairing at the 3rd anti-codon position. Lineage: Bacteria; Bacillati; Chloroflexota; Anaerolineae; Anaerolineales. The record is from RNAcentral.
GCCGAGGUGGUGAAACUGGCAACCACGCACGACUCAAACUCGUGUGCCCGGAAGGGUUUGAGGGUUCAAGUCCCUCCCUCGGCA